UACAGAGGGUGCGAGCGUUAAUCGGAAUUACUGGGCGUAAAGCGCGCGUAGGCGGCUUUGCAAGUCGGGUGUGAAAUCCCCAGGCUUAACCUGGGAACUGCAUUCGAGACUGCAUUGCUAGAGUAUGGGAGAGGGAAGUGGAAUUUCCGGUGUAGCGGUGAAAUGCGUAGAUAUCAGGAGGAACACCUGUGGCGAAAGCGGCUCACUGGACCAUAACUGACGCUGAUGCACGAAAGCUAGGGGAGCAAACAGG
This 253-nucleotide ribosomal RNA is filed under the name uncultured bacterium. Its description in RNAcentral is "partial 16S ribosomal RNA". It matches the Rfam family "Bacterial small subunit ribosomal RNA", at positions 524 to 776 of the family's 1533-position model. The record is from RNAcentral.